AGAGCGAACGCUGGCGGCAGGCCUAACACAUGCAAGUCGAGCGGGCGUAGCAAUACGUCAGCGGCAGACGGGUGAGUAACGCGUGGGAACGUACCUUUUGGUUCGGAACAACACAGGGAAACUUGUGCUAAUACCGGAUAAGCCCUUACGGGGAAAGAUUUAUCGCCAAAGGAUCGGCCCGCGUCUGAUUAGCUAGUUGGUGAGGUAACGGCUCACCAAGGCGACGAUCAGUAGCUGGUCUGAGAGGAUGAUCAGCCUCACUGGGACUGAGACACGGCCCAGACUCCUACGGGAGGCAGCAGUGGGGAAUAUUGGACAAUGGGCGCAAGCCUGAUCCAGCCAUGCCGCGUGGAUGAUGAAGGCCCUAGGGUUGUAAAGUCCUUUCGGCGGGGAAGAUAAUGACGGUACCGCAGAAGAAGCCCGGCUAACUUCGUGCCAGCAGCCGC
RNAcentral lists this ribosomal RNA (446 nucleotides) under uncultured bacterium. RNAcentral's name for it is "SSU rRNA". It matches the Rfam family "Bacterial small subunit ribosomal RNA", at positions 26 to 518 of the family's 1533-position model. The record is from RNAcentral.